GACGAACGCUGGCGGCGUGCUUAACACAUGCAAGUCGAACGGUGAAGCGCCUUCCUUUUUGGUGGGUGUGGAUGAGUGGCGAACGGGUGAGUAACACGUGAGUAACCUGCCCCCUUCUUCUGGAUAACCGCAUGAAAGUGUGGCUAAUACGGGAUAUUCUGGGUCUGUCGCAUGAUGGGUCUGGGAAAGAUAUUGUUUCGGUGGGGGAUGGGCUCGCGGCCUAUCAGCUUGUUGGUGGGGUGAUGGCCUACCAAGGCGGUGACGGGUAGCCGGCCUGAGAGGGUGGACGGUCACACUGGGACUGAGACACGGCCCAGACUCCUACGGGAGGCAGCAGUGGGGAAUAUUGCACAAUGGGCGCAAGCCUGAUGCAGCGACGCCGCGUGAGGGAUGGAGGCCUUCGGGUUGUGAACCUCUUUCGCAAGUGAAGCAGGACUGCCUCGUUUGUGGGUGGGUUGACGGUAGCUGGAUAAGAAGCGCCGGCUAACUACGUG
Molecule: ribosomal RNA, 494 nt
Filed under: uncultured bacterium
Lineage: Bacteria
Description: partial 16S ribosomal RNA
Rfam family: Bacterial small subunit ribosomal RNA
Source: RNAcentral